Molecule: non-coding RNA, 21 nt
Filed under: Caenorhabditis elegans
Lineage: Eukaryota; Metazoa; Nematoda; Chromadorea; Rhabditida; Rhabditidae
Source: RNAcentral
UUAAUUCUAGCCACUCUUCAA